UGGACAGUCUCAACUCCAGAACUAAUUGCUUUGCAAAAUGUGUGACUCCGGGCAAGCAACCUGGGCUCAUGCACAAUGCCCUCCCCACCUCCCCUCUCCUGAGGGCUCCUGGAGACAAGUACGGCUCCCUGUAGGACAGAGCCACUGCCCUCCCACCCUCUCCACCUCAGGACGCAGGUGGGCACUUUCACAGGACCAGAAGGGGUGCUCAGAGAGUUGCUGUUUUUGGGUUAUAGCCCCUCAAAUUCCUGGGAAGGGCUGAGGCCUGGUCCCCUGACCCCCACCCCAUUGGCCCUGGCUAGGACCCUCUAUAUACUCCUGGGAACCGCUAUAUGCUGCAGGUGCAGCCCUAAAAAGACAAAAGACAAAAAAUAAAUAAAUAAAAAGAAAGAAAAAAGAUAAUAAUAAUGAUGAAAAGCAUCAUCAUGAAAAAUAAGUAUACCAUUUCUUAAGAUGCAUGCAGUAACAGCUUUUACCCAAAAGGUUCUAUAUGCUGUAAGACUCUUCCUCCUAAAAACUUUCAGGUUGCUCUCGUCCUCCAGCUCAUUUACUCAGGGGUUACAUCUGUGACUUAGACAAAAAUGUGAUUAUUUUACAUGCCCUACCCUAGUCAGGAAUAAAGCAUUUCAUUUGAGGGGCUGCGGCCAGAGACGCUAUGGCAGAGUAAGACUAAUGUGAGCUAUUGUCAUCUGCUCAGAGCAAAGAUGAAUGUAGAGUCCUUCCUCUGUUGCAGGCCCUCUGCCUUCAUAAGUCAGAGUAGAUGAUAUGAUGUCAGAUCCCCACAUGGAUCUUUUGCUGCUAUUCCACAGAGUAACUCUUAUGACCAAGGUGCUUGAUUUUACUUAAGCCAACCAAGAGCUGGCUUUCAGAAAAUAAUGAUCUAUUAAAUGUAAUUCUUUGAUUUUUCAAAUGAUUUUUCCUCUGCUCUGAGAAAUAUUUAUAUGAGUAUUCCUAUUUAGGCUUUAUAUUUAUAAAGUAAGAUUUAUAUUUAUAAAUUAAUAUUUAUAAAGUAAGAUUUCAUUUGAAUAUGUUAACCUCUCAGUAUAUUAUUUAUUUUUUUUUAUUUUUUUGUCUUUUUUUGCCAUUUCUUGGGCCGCUCCCAUGGCAUAUGGAAGUUCCCAGGCUAGGGGUCGAAUUGGAGCUGUAGCUGCUGGCCUACAGCACAGCCACAGCAACGUGGGAUCCAAGCUGCAUCCACAACCUACACCAAAGCUCAAGGCAACGCUGGAUCCUUAACCCACUGAGCAAGGCCAGGGAUCGAACCCACAACCUCAUGGUUCCUAGUUGGAUUCAUUAACCACUGAGCCACAAUGGGAACUCCCAACUUCUCAGUAUAUUAUACAUGUGAAUUUUUUUUUAAAUUAUCUGACCACUUUUUAGCCAUCUAGAACUCCAGGAACGUGGUGAUCAAGUAGAGUACUGAACACAGUACUGCUUAUUGACAGUAUAAGCCAGUCUGCUUACUGACAUAGAACAAGGCCUGGAGCCAUACUGGGCUGAGAAAAGGAUAUGUUGGUCCCAUCCUUUGGACCUAGAACCAUGCAUGCCCCAUGGCUGAGCAAACUGAACAAAGCUCCCCAAGGUGGGGCGAGCUUGAGGAAUAUGAACGAUCUGGUUAACCAAAGCAUGUUCCCUUGCCAAGUGGUGUAUAUAAUCCUGGGAUAGAACCAAAGGGUUCCGGACAAGGGAAGGGACCCAUCAUGUGACCAGAAGGCAUGAAGUUCUAGGAUGUGCCCAGCUUCAGACACCUACCCAGCCCUUCAGUCACGGAGCUAUAUCUGUUUCUGAAGAAGGUGGUAAAGGUCAGUUGAGGAUGCAAGACACAACCACUGGGAGAAUAAUAUAGAGUUCUAGCUUGAUGGUUUUUUCCCCCCCUCACAGCAUUUUGAAGAUAGUGUCCUGUCAUUUUCAGACUUCUAUAAUUGCCAAUGGGAAAUAUGUUGUCAGUCUGCUUGUUCUUCCAUUGUAAGUAAAUUGUAUUUUCCCUUUGGUUACUUUUAAAGUUUUUCUCUUUGUCUUCGGUGUUCUGAAGUUUCACUAUGAUGCCACUAAGUAUGGAUUUAUUUUUAUUUAUUUUGCUCAGGACUCAAAUUUCUUCAAUCUGAAGAUAUGCAUCUUUCUUCAAGGAUGUGCAAAAAAAGAUAUUGUACAACCAUCAUAAUGGCAAAAAUUAAAACUUAUCAAGUGUUGGCAAGGAUAUGGGAAAAAUUCUCAUAUGCUACCAAUGAGAAUUUAUAAAUGAUUACAACAUUUUUGGGGUGCCAUCUGGGGGUACUAGCAAAACAGGAUAACCUAAGAUCAAGCAAUUAUAAUUUUAGGCACCAAUCCUGAGAAAACUUGCAUUCAUAGAAAAAGGAGAUACAUGCACAUCUGUUCAGUGAAGCAUUGUUUGCCAUUGGGAAAAAAAGAGAAAGAAAUUAAUCAAAAUGUUCAAUAGGAGGAUAUAUGAAUCUUUAACGUAAUUUUCAAAAAUAAAAUCCUGAACAGCAGUUAAAACAAAUGAAUCAGAUAUACUCACACAAGGUAGGCAAAUUUGGAAGACAAAAUGAGAAAUACAAUAAAGUAAAAAGUAGAUGAUAAAUGCAACACAAUUCCCUAUGGAUAAAUUUUAACCACCCACAAUACUAUAAUUGCCCAAUAUGUAGAAACCAUGAGAUUUCACAUUUUCUACAAUGCACUAAAAUAAAAAAAAAGGAAACAGGAUAAAAGGCAAUCCAAGAAAUAUUUAUCCUCUUGGAAAUCAAAAAGAAGAUCUAAAAUAAUUCCUGGUUUGAAGAAAUAACAGAAAUUAAAAGCUACAUAGAAAUGGUCAACAGUAUUAGCCAGACACAGAUGUGUUCGUGGAGCUAAGGGAGACUAGUGAUCAGUCCGGGGUCUCUCCAAGGUUACAAGUCUUAGAAAGCAAAGAUACUUGUUCUGAGUCCAUUUUUUUUCUGGGUUUUCCUGUGGCUUCUGCUGGUUUCUGACAUGGGGAAAAGGGGGGAAGAGUUAGAAUGUACCCCUCUCUCCAUCUCUCCCAACCUUCCUUUAGUAACAAGUAGGAAAGCACAAUAGAAGAUAAAAGAACGUAGUAGAAUGUAGAGGGAUGUAACAUGGGCAAUGUUAGGUGGACAGAAGUUCAGAGCAAAGGAGAAGGCAUGGGGGCAGUGUUGUCUACGGGCUGGGGUCGAAAUGCACAGGCAGACACCUGAUGCACCAACAAGGUCAUGGAUUUCUGUCCUUGAGUGAGGGCAGCCAGACCCAGCCAAGCUCAAAGGGCAAGUGAGGAUACAAGAGCAACACCAGAGGAAGUCCUGCUCAAGGUGUAGGGCUGGGGUGAGAGGGAGUGCCAGGAGAAGUGGGGAAGCAUGCUCGAUUCAGCUGAGCUUUAGCUCAGAAAACCAUGCUCCUGGAAAGAGGAAGCUGGCCAAGUACUGUUCCAAGGCAGCGGGAGGGCGAAGCCAGAGCAUCCUGCUUCUUUACGUGGGGAGGCCAGUUCUCUGUGGAAGUGGCAAUACAAAGGCAGGGGAAUUGAACUACUCAGAACCUUCAGGGAGAAAUAUUUCCUGCCCAAAUUCAGGUGCUAAACAAACAACAAAAUGAGAACCUCUACUAUGAAGAGUUUCCAACCAUGAGAUAUCCGAGGACAUUACAUUCCUGGGAAUAAAGCCAGGGGUGCCAUGACAGACAACUAGAAAGAACAACUUAGUGGGCCAGCCCCACUCCAGUAAGACCCAAGGAGGAAACUUCAUAUUCCUUUAGACUGUUUUAGCUUUUGGCAAAGCCAGACCCCAUGCUCCAAGCUUGCUGGGUUCUAUCCUCCAUAUCAUCCAGAAGAUACACUGUUACUGCAGAAGGUGACACUGAGGAGAGAGCGCGGUGUAUAUUUAUUCAUGUAAAAAAAACCCUGGGUAUAAGCACAGCAAUGUUAAUAACUAGAAAUUACUGAAUUUUCUAUGUUGUCUGUUGUGGAAAUAAAGCCCUCUGGGGAUGGAUCAAAAAUAUCUGGAAAUUACUUGAAACUGGUGAAUAACUAAAUGGAAUGAUAACUAAAAUGUACUGUAAUCCAAUUGUAUUUUUUGUCCUUUAAGGGUUGUUUCCAGGGAGCACUAUGCAGUGAAUGUUACAAAAAUGACAUAAAACUCCAAAAGCUACUCUAUGUAAAUUUCUUGAGUGGGAAUUCUCAUGAUGUUUGGCAUAUUACUCUGAUAAUUGUAUAUGUCAAUUGGUUUUAUGUUCUGACAUUUUGACCGCUUUGGGGAAAAAUGAGGUGUAUACCCAGAGUUUUCCUGGCAAAUGCUUAAAAACUGGCCCUCUGGGUGGAAAAUCCUGAUUGAUGGUGUUUGCCAAUUUCCAUGGUGUAAAUACUACUUCCACUCUGGCUGACUGCAAGCUAUGAAUGUGCUAUCAUUGAGUGCAGAACUGGGAAAGGAUGUGCAAUGUGGACACUUGUGAGUCCAUACAAGCCACUGUAUAUACCCAGGAGCCUGUGUGAAACUACAGUUUUUUACUAAAAAUAUUGCCCCAUAAAUAUACAAAGGUACCAGUGGAAGAAAAAAUAUAAAGGGAAAAUAAAUUCAAAUUGGAAGUUCAAAUGGAGAAAAUAACAGGAUUUUUUCAACUUUGUCUAUAUGCUACAUUUUAUUAUUAUAUGUUUAAAAGAAAACAAAGUAUCUAUGUGUCAUCUCCAGUGUUCUGAACUCUUAGUUUCUUUGGUGUUCCCUGAGAUGGAGGCUAGGGUUUCUUUCCUUUCAGAUAUUGGUGCUAAGAUGAUGCUGUCCAAAGAAUUGAUGGGACCUGCUCACUGUGAAGCCAGUUUCAGGAUGGCUGAGCUGAGAGUGGUGACAGAAGAAAAGAUGAGGAGCCUUCUGAAUUUGGGGAGGCAACACUUAUAUUUAUAUGUGUGGUUUGGUAUGAUAAUAUAUUGCUUUAAAAGUUAAUGCUAAUGGAAACAAGAAAAAAGCAGUUGUUCAAAAAUUGAAAAAAAUGGAUUAAUAAACUCUUCUAUU
Molecule: long non-coding RNA, 4988 nt
Filed under: Sus scrofa (pig)
Lineage: Eukaryota; Metazoa; Chordata; Mammalia; Artiodactyla; Suidae
Description: lncRNA (ENSSSCG00025020787.1)
Source: RNAcentral